AGAGUUUGAUCAUGGCUCAGGACGAACGCUGGCGGCGUGCUUAACACAUGCAAGUCGAACGGAAAGCGCUCUUUGGAGUGACUCGAGUGGCGAACGGGUGAGUAACACGUGGGUGAUCUGCCCUGCACUUUGGGAUAAGCCUGGGAAACUGGGUCUAAUACCGGAUAGGACUACGGCCUGCAUGGGUUGUGGUGGAAAGCUUUUGCGGUGUGGGAUGGGCCCGCGGCCUAUCAGCUUGUUGGUGGGGUGAUGGCCUACCAAGGCGACGACGGGUAGCCGGCCUGAGAGGGUGUCCGGCCACACUGGGACUGAGAUACGGCCCAGACUCCUACGGGAGGCAGCAGUGGGGAAUAUUGCACAAUGGGCGCAAGCCUGAUGCAGCGACGCCGCGUGAGGGAUGACGGCCUUCGGGUUGUAAACCUCUUUCAGCAUCGACGAAGCGUAAGUGACGGUAGAUGCAGAAGAAGCACCGGCCAACUACGUGCCAGCAGCCGCGGUAAUACGUAGGGUGCGAGCGUUGUCCGGAAUUACUGGGCGUAAAGAGCUCGUAGGUGGUUUGUCGCGUUGUUCGUGAAAACUCACAGCUUAACUGUGGGCGUGCGGGCGAUACGGGCAGACUGGAGUACUGCAGGGGAGACUGGAAUUCCUGGUGUAGCGGUGGAAUGCGCAGAUAUCAGGAGGAACACCGGUGGCGAAGGCGGGUCUCUGGGCAGUAACUGACGCUGAGGAGCGAAAGCGUGGGGAGCGAACAGGAUUAGAUACCCCCGUAGUCC
This 773-nucleotide ribosomal RNA is filed under the name uncultured bacterium. Its description in RNAcentral is "bacterial SSU rRNA". It matches the Rfam family "Bacterial small subunit ribosomal RNA", at positions 8 to 796 of the family's 1533-position model. The record is from RNAcentral.